GGUGCUUGGCGCGCACUGGUUUCCCUGCCCUUCUCAGGCAGGUCGCUGGGGGGCGCUCUCCCCAAGCGCUCUUAAGGUCCUCUGCCCUCGGGUGCCCGCAGUCAGGCGUGGUGACCUUUAACUUUUUUCCUGGUUUAGUUCUGCGCGUGCCUAAAAUCGACUGUUUGGCUGGAGUCCCUGAGGCAGCGGCCGUGGCAUGACCUCCAUAAACCACCUACCUGUGAAUCCCGAGGAAUAAUAAAGUGGAGAAUUCCAUGGGAACUGGAACAACCUCCAGGAAUUGAUGCAGAGGGAGAGGAGCAGAACCAAGAGAACAUUGUACACAGAGACUUCUCCAUUAAUGGCAAUGCAGUGAUCCUGAACAACUUGGAGAAAUCUAUGAGAAAAACCACUAUUCACAUUCAGAGGAAAAACUGGGAGUAGAAACACAGAAGAAAAGCAACUGCUUGAAUACAUGGGUUGAAGGGAUAUGAAUGGGGAGGUAGACUCUAAGUGAACAUCCUAAUGCAAACAACAACGACAUGGAAAUAGGUUCUGAUCAAGGACACAAGUAAUACCCAAUGAAAUUGCGCGUCGGCUGCAGGAAGGAACCAAUGUGACGAAGUUUUUCUACCUGCUCAAAAUCCACGUUCCACCAAGGCCACGACAAGGAAAGAGAACCAAAGACGGAACUGCACCCAAUUUAUAGCCUGUCUAUAUCAGCACAUAAUGACGGGAAAUUACAAGAACCCACUGGUGUUUUUGAUUCCCUCAGGCAGCAACAUAUUGGCGCCCAUCAUUUGAGGAUCUGGGAGGACAUCUUCAGGAUUAAGGCCGCGUACAGGUUGGCUACUGGAGUGAGUUGCCAGCAAUGUUUUUUAAAACAGUGGAUCACAGUAUUUCUUCUCAUGUAAACUAUAUAUAUGUUCGUUACACUGUUUACUUAAAAAACAGGGAACUGACUUCCAGGUAAGCAUGGCUGCAGAGUAGACAUGGCUUGCUUCCUCUCCUCAGACCCAACGACACAGACGACCUCAAAAGACCCUUCCCCCCUAAAAAAACAAACAAACAACCAUCCUCAUAUGAUCUGAGAGACCCCACAUUAAGGCCCAGCACUGAAGGUAGGUGGGAUUCUGGCAUUUCCACAGUAUAAGGGAACGAAAAGUUGACCCACCCUCCCCCCACCCACCACACAUCUGGAGCCAGAGUUAAAGUCAGCACUGGCCAGAAUCAACAAGUGAGAGAGGGGCAGCCCCAGGUCUGGGGACCUGACUAAGACCACCAAGUACCCACUCCUGUGAGUAGUAACACCUGAAAUCCUGGCAGGCGGGCAAGGGGAACUGUAAACCUUAAAAUUUCUUAGACUUAUAAAUGUUGGAAAUUUCACCAUUGGGAAAUUUCAUACUUGAAAAAUUUCCUACUGAUAGUCUAUUGGAAUGUGAACCCCCCUUGGCCUGGGAGGGUCCUUCUCCUCCCUACUUAAGAUUACUUUAGGACAGAAACCUUUUGCUGAACAAUGGAAAGGGCUUUGAUCUAUGCUUAAGCAUAGAACAGGAAGUUCUUUGAGUCAUGAUUGAUUUUAGAAUUGAUACAAUAGAGAUACUUGGAAUGACAGAACCAGGUCUUGGAACUUACAAUCUCCACCCUACUCAGUCCUAACAGGAUUUAGGAAGGGCUGCAGCAUAGAUCAAAAUUUAAUUAUUUGAGAAUAUGACCUUCAACAGACAUGUGCAAAGGGGCAGACCUCUGGGAGGUCCUGGGUUAAGCUAGAGCCACCAUUGGCACAGGGAAGACAUGGACAGUGAUUGGUAGAUGUGAGAACUGAGGGGAGGGAACUGAGAUGGUUUCCUUAAAGAUAGCGGGGUCUGAGGACUGAAGGUGGUUGGAGAGGUUUUGCUCUGAGAGGUGGUGCUCUGAGAAGGCUUGCUCUGAAGGAGGCUGGAGGUGGAGGCCCCUGAGACUGUUUCUCCAUUUUGGUCACGUGAGUGAUAGGGACUGAUCUCUUUCUUUGCCUCAGCUAUCUAAGGGCUUGGGCCUUUUGGCCCAGCCUAAACAGAGGGGGUAUUUAAGCCCUAUUCCCUUCUCUCCCCUUUCUCUCUCUCUCUCUCUCUCUCUAUCUCUAUCUCUAAUACCUUUCUUCCUCCUGUUUGUAAUUAAAACUCCAUAAAAGGUUGACUGCUGACUUGAAGUUUCAUUUAGGAAUUACAUAGCUGAAUUCCUUGGUGACCUUAAAUUAAUAUAUAUCAGUCUUUUAAAGUAAUUUCCUUGUCACAGAACUCAGAUCACGGGCACCCAGAACUAGCGUGCUAUGAUCAACGAGUACGCGAAAGGAUCCCCUGAAGUGAGCAAGGGGCCCCUACAGGUCUUGAGAGUUAACUAAGACCACCAAAGACCUACUCCUGAAAGCAGUAACACCUGAAAUGCCAGCAGGCAGGGGAGGGCAGACACUGGGCUCCCCCGGGGAAGACAGCGCAGCUGCAGAGAACUGAGAAUUUGCCUGAGGCUGAAGCCUUGAUCAUUAGACCUAUACACUGAGAGCAAGCCCUCCUCACUCAGAUUUCUGACCGGAAAGGGGAGAAAAAAAAACAUAGAGAUGGCAAACAGUGCCCAGGAAUCACAACAUCCCAACUCCAAGAAAAGCAAGAAGAAGGGGGUGUCUUUGUAUACAUUUUAUGGAGGGAAAAUACAGAAUAUAGAGGAAAAAGAAGAGGAAACAAAUGCUCCAAAUCUUUCCAAAAGAAAUGGAAAUUGUCCACAAGCUCUUGAAGAAUUUAAAUUGGAAGUUAUAAAAGAGAUGGAAGCCUUCUGGCAGGAAAAAUGGGAAAUACAAAAGGAAAUCAGCAAUCUGAUGGACAAAAACAAGCAACUGCAGAAACAGCUUGAAGCCUCAAAAAGCAGGACAGACCAAACUGAAAAGGAAAACCAGUCUUUAAAGGUCAGAAUCAGGCAAAUGGAGGACAAUGAUCUUGCAAAAGAGCAAGAAUUAAUGAAGCAAAGUCAAAAGACUAAGAAAUUAGAAGAUAACAAAAUAUCUCACUUACAAGGUGACAGACCUGGAAAACAGAGGAAGGAGAGAGAAUCUGAGGAGAAAAGCCAGAAAUAAACAGUAAUCUGGAUAUCAUAAUACAAGAUAUCAUCCAAGAAAACUGCCUGGAGAUUCUAGAACAAGGGGGCAAAAUAGGCAUUGAAAGAGUUCAUAGAACACCCUCUACACUAAAUCCCAAAAAAACUCCCAGGAAUGUAAUUGUCAAAUUCCAAAGCUUUCAAGGAAAAGAAAAAAUCUUACAAGAAGCCAGAAAAAGACAAUUUAGAUAUAAAGGAAUGCCAACCAGGGUCACACAAGACCUUGCAAUUUCUAUACUGAACGACCGUAAGGCAUGGAACAUGAUAUUCAGAAAGGCAAGAGAGCUGGGUCUUCAACCUUCAACCAAUCAGCUAUCCAUCAAAACUGACUAUAUACUUCCAGGGGAAAGUAUGGGGAUUCAACAAAAUAGAAGAUUUCCAAGCAUUUGUAAAGAAAAGACCAGAGCUCUGUAGAAAGUUUGACAUCCAAACACAAAGAGCAAGAGAAACAUGAAAAGGUAACUAUGAAGGAAAGAGAAAAGGAGGAAAAUGUUAUCUUUUUCUUUUAUUCAAACUCUUCUAUGAGGACUAAAUUUAUAUCAAAUUAUAUAUAUUAAUAUGUGGGGGAAAUGUAAUAUGUAACUCAAAAAUUGUAUGCAUCAUUAGAGUAGUUAGAAGAAUCACGCAUAGGGAAAGAUUGGGGCAUUAAGACGAUAUGGAGAAGGGGGGGAAGAAAGAAAAAGGGAGGGGGGAAUCAUUGAUGGUACUAAGAUAUACUUCAAGAAAUAGAAAAAAACUAAAUAGAAUAAUCUUUCUCACACAAAGAUACACAUGGGAAGGGGAGGGGAAGAAAUCUCCUGUAAGCAGGAGAGGAAGAGAGUGCUAACUGGUAUUUCUUAAACCUUACUCUCAAUGAAAUCAACUCUGAGAGAGAAGAACAUCUAGAUCUAUUGGGAUCUUGAAUUCUAUCUUAUCCAACAGGGCAAGAGAGAAGGGGAAAUUAAGGUGGGGGGGA
This is a long non-coding RNA of Monodelphis domestica (gray short-tailed opossum), 4057 nucleotides long. RefSeq lists it as uncharacterized. NCBI's taxonomy places the organism in Eukaryota, Metazoa, Chordata, Mammalia, Didelphimorphia, Didelphidae. The record is from RefSeq and is a predicted model, not a curated record.